This 215-nucleotide ribosomal RNA is filed under the name uncultured bacterium. Its description in RNAcentral is "partial 16S ribosomal RNA". It matches the Rfam family "Bacterial small subunit ribosomal RNA", at positions 524 to 735 of the family's 1533-position model. The record is from RNAcentral.
CACGUAGGGCGCGAGCGUUGUCCGGAAUUAUUGGGCGUAAAGAGCUCGUAGGCGGCCUGUUGCGUCCGCUGUGAAAGCCCCGGGGCUUAGCCCCGGGUCUGCAGUGGAUACGGGCAGGCUAGAGGUAGGUAGGGGAGAAUGGAAUUCCCGGUGUAGCGGUGAAAUGCGCAGAUAAUCGGGAGGAACACCGGUGGCGAAGGCGGGUUCUCUGGGCC